Molecule: ribosomal RNA, 429 nt
Filed under: Chloroflexota bacterium
Lineage: Bacteria; Bacillati; Chloroflexota
Description: Chloroflexi bacterium partial 16S ribosomal RNA
Rfam family: Bacterial small subunit ribosomal RNA
Source: RNAcentral
UAGGGAAUCUUCGGCAAUGGACGAAAGUCUGACCGAGCAACGCCGCGUGAGUGAAGAAGGUUUUCGGAUCGUAAAACUCUGUUGUUAGAGAAGAACAAGGACGUUAGUAACUGAACGUCCCCUGACGGUAUCUAACCAGAAAGCCACGGCUAACUACGUGCCAGCAGCCGCGGUAAUACGUAGGUGGCAAGCGUUGUCCGGAUGUAUUGGGCGUAAAGCGAGCGCAGGCGGUUUCUUAAGUCUGAUGUGAAAGCCCCCGGCUCAACCGGGGAGGGUCAUUGGAAACUGGGAGACUUGAGUGCAGAAGAGGAGAGUGGAAUUCCAUGUGUAGCGGUGAAAUGCGUAGAUAUAUGGAGGAACACCAGUGGCGAAGGCGGCCCCCUGGACGAAGACUGACGCUCCGGUGCGAAAGCGUGGGGAGCAAACAGG